Carlito syrichta (Philippine tarsier) is the source of this 2436-nucleotide long non-coding RNA. RefSeq lists it as uncharacterized. Lineage: Eukaryota; Metazoa; Chordata; Mammalia; Primates; Tarsiidae. The transcript has 5 exons. The record is from RefSeq and is a predicted model, not a curated record.
CCAGGUGACUGCGCCGCGGCGUCUGCUGCGCUAGGACCUGCAGGGACCGCGGGAGCCCUAGAGGGGACCCCGGGACUCCGCGAGAGCCAGGAAAUGUAUCUUUCCUAGACACACAUCCUUUGGGAAUUCGGUUGGGUUGGUUCUCCUCUUUGGAUACUUUCCUGGAUGUACUUUGGAUACUUUCACCUUUCAGCGCUGUUCCAGGACUCAGUGACCUUUGAGGAUGUGGCCGUGAACUUCACGCAGGAGGAAUGGGCUUUGCUGAACCUUUCACAGAAGAAACUAUAGAGAAACUUUCAAGAACCUGGCCUCCAUAGGGAAAAAAAUGGAAAGAUCAGAACAUUAAAGGCUGGUACAGAAACCAAGGUGACCAUCUAAGCACUCAUAUGGUAGAAAAAGACUGUGGAAGUAAAGGAGGUAGUCAAUGUGGAGAAACAUUUGGCCAGACUCCAAAUCUUAGUCUGAACAAGAAAACUCAUACUGGAGUAAAAAACUAUGUGAAUAUUGUGUGUGUGGAAUGGUCUCAUGCACUAUUUAGCCCUUAUUAGGCACAUCAGUCACACUAGACAAAAAUCACAUGAAUGUCAGAAAUAUGCAGAGAAGCCAUAUAAAUGUAAACAAUGUGAGACAGCCUUCAGUUAUCUCCAGUCCUUUCAAAGACACAUCAUAAUGCACAAUGGAGGUACACCUUAUAAAUGUAAAGUAUAUGGCAGAGUAUUCAUUUCCCUCAGUUUCUUAUAAAAACAUGAAAGAAGUCACCCUGGAUAGGAACCCUAUGAAUGUAAGCAAUGUGGUAAAGCCUUCAUAUGUUCCAUUUUCUUUCAAGUUCAUGGAAUAACUCAGAAACCCUAUGAAUGUAAGAAAUGCGGGAAAGUCUUCAGUUAUCUCCAGUCCUUUCAAAGACACAUCAUAAUGCACAAUGGAAAUACACCUUAUAAAUGUAAAGUAUGUGGGAAAGCAUUCAUUUAUCCUAAUUUCUUACAUAGAUGAAAAAAUGCACACUGGAGAGAAACCCUAUGUUCUACUUCCUUUCAAGUUCAUGAAAGAACUCAUACUAGAGAAAAACCAGAAUGUAAGCUGUGUGAGAAAGCCUUCAGUUUUCACUCAGUAUUUCAAGUACACCUGAGAAUGCAUACUGGAGAGAAAUCCUACAAAUGUAAAGAUUGUGAUAAAGCCUACAGUCAUCCCAGUUCCUUUCGAAGGCAUGAAAGGACACACACUUGAGAAAAACCCUGUGAAUGUAAAAAAUGUGGGAAAGCCUUCACUUAUCUCCAAUCCUUUCACAAACAUGAAAGGACUCACCCUGGUGAGAAACACUAUGAAUAUAAACAAUGUGGAAAAACAUUUAUGUACCACAAAUCAUUUCAAGCACAUGAAAGCACUUACACUGGAGUGAGAUCUGCACAUGAAAGCACUUACACUGGAGUGAGAUCUUAUGAAUGUAAGCAGUGUGGUAAAGUUUCAAACAUCUCUUUUCUCUUCAAAUUUUUGAAAGGAUUCACAAAGGAGAAAAGUCCUGUAAGUGUAAAAAAUGCAGUAAAGCUUUCACUUUGCCCAGAUCCCUUCAAAUACAUGAAAGAAUUCACACUGGGGAGAAACCCUAUGCAUGUAAGGAAUGUGGGAAAGACUUUCCUUUACUUUCAAAGACGUAUGAUAACGCACAAUGGAGAUGCACCUUUUAAUUGUAAAGAAUAUGGGAAAGUAUUUCUCGCAGUUUGUUACAAAGACAUGCAAUAACUCACACUGGAAAGAAGGCCCUAUGAAUGUAAACAACGUGGUAAAAGCCUUCAGCUAUUCCAUUUGUCUUCAAAAACAUGAAAAAACUCAUACUGCAGAAAAAUCCAAUAAAUAUAAACAAUGUAGGAAAACUUCUACUCACCCUAGUUAUUUGAGAAGACAAAAGAAUUCACAAUGAAGAGAAACCUUAUGAAUGUAAGUCAUGUGAAAAAGCCUUCAAUUUAUCCACAUCCUCAUAUAAACAUGAGAAUGUACACUGGACAGAAACUGAAUACGUGAAAAAUUCAGCAAAGUUCAAUUUUAACAACUUUAAAAAGGUAAACAUUUCCACUGGAGAGAUAUUCUAUAAAUAUAAGUAGUAUAUAAAGUCUAAUGCAAAUUCAUGUGUAAUGACCCAGAAAACUCACAGCAUAAAGCAAAUGUUCUAAGAGUUUUAAGUGUAUUGUUUUUAUCAGUGGCUCAUUCUUAAAGUUCAUCUCUGUACUAUGGAGUUCUACUUCAUACGUUUGCAAAGAUAAGUUAUGGUGAGAUGAUUCCAUACGUUCUGUUUAAGGAAUAGCCUAAAAGUGUAAUAGGUAAUGUUUUCCUGUUAAUGGUGAGAUGAUUCCAUACAUUCUGUUUAAGGAAUAGCCUAAAAGUAUAAUAGGUAAUGUUUUCCUGUUAAAUCGGUUAAUAAAAUUUUUCUGUUUACAUUUUUAA